GUGAGGAAUAUUGGUCAAUGGGCGGGAGCCUGAACCAGCCAAGUCGCGUGAAGGAAGAAGGAUCUAUGGUUCGUAAACUUCUUUUGCAGGGGAAUAAAGUGCAGGACGUGUCCUGUUUUGUAUGUACCCUGAGAAUAAGGAUCGGCUAACUCCGUGCCAGCAGCCGCGGUAAUACGGAGGAUCCGAGCGUUAUCCGGAUUUAUUGGGUUUAAAGGGUGCGUAGGUGGUUUGAUAAGUCAGCGGUGAAAGUUUGCAGCUUAACUGUAAAAAUGCCGUUGAAACUGUCGGACUUGAGUGUAAAUGAGGUAGGCGGAAUGCGUGGUGUAGCGGUGAAAUGCAUAGAUAUCACGCAGAACUCCGAUUGCGAAGGCAGCUUACUAAGCUACAACUGACACUGAAGCACGAAAGCGUGGGGAUCAAACAGGAUUAGAAACCCCGGUAGUCCU
Molecule: ribosomal RNA, 446 nt
Filed under: uncultured bacterium
Lineage: Bacteria
Description: partial 16S ribosomal RNA
Rfam family: Bacterial small subunit ribosomal RNA
Source: RNAcentral